GUCUAUGGCCAUGCCACCCUGAACAUGCCCAAUCCUGUCUGAUUUCAGAAGCUAAGCAGGGUCGGGCCUGGUUAGUACUUGGAUGGGAGACCACCUGGGAAUACCAGGUGCUGUAGGCU
RNAcentral lists this ribosomal RNA (119 nucleotides) under Pteropus alecto (black flying fox). Lineage: Eukaryota; Metazoa; Chordata; Mammalia; Chiroptera; Pteropodidae. The record is from RNAcentral.